AUUGAACGCUGGCGGCAUGCCUUACACAUGCAAGUCGAACGGUAACAGGUUAAGCUGACGAGUGGCGAACGGGUGAGUAAUGUAUCGGAACGUGCCCAGUCGUGGGGGAUAACUGCUCGAAAGAGCAGCUAAUACCGCAUACGAUCUACGGAUGAAAGCGGGGGAUCGCAAGACCUCGCGCGAUUGGAGCGGCCGAUAUCUGAUUAGCUAGUUGGUGGGGUAAAGGCCCACCAAGGCGACGAUCAGUAGCUGGUCUGAGAGGACGACCAGCCACACUGGGACUGAGACACGGCCCAGACUCCUACGGGAGGCAGCAGUGGGGAAUUUUGGACAAUGGGGGCAACCCUGAUCCAGCCAUGCCGCGUGCAGGAAGAAGGCCUUCGGGUUGUAAACCGCUUUUGUCAGGGAAGAAAUCUUCUGGGUUAAUACCUCGGGAGGAUGACGGUACCUGAAGAAUAAGCACCGGCUAACUACGUGCCAGCCGCCGCCGUAA
Molecule: ribosomal RNA, 493 nt
Filed under: uncultured bacterium
Lineage: Bacteria
Description: partial 16S ribosomal RNA
Rfam family: Bacterial small subunit ribosomal RNA
Source: RNAcentral